This 352-nucleotide RNase P RNA is filed under the name Bacteroidales bacterium. Its description in RNAcentral is "partial RNase P RNA component class A". It matches the Rfam family "Bacterial RNase P class A". Rfam says of the family: Ribonuclease P (RNase P) is a ubiquitous endoribonuclease, found in archaea, bacteria and eukarya as well as chloroplasts and mitochondria. Lineage: Bacteria; Pseudomonadati; Bacteroidota; Bacteroidia; Bacteroidales. The record is from RNAcentral.
AUACGACAUUGUUCUAUCGCUGCGAAUCAUUGAUUCGGAGAGGAAAGUCCGGGCAACAUAGAGCAUCAUACUACCUAACGGGUAGGCAGGUUGAGAAGACCUGACAGAAAGUGCCACAGAAAAUAACCGCCUUGCAAAAGGUAAGGGUGAAAACGUGAGGUAAGAGCUCACGAUUCGUCAUAGUGAUAUGUCGAAUGGGUAAACCUUAUGAGUUGAAAGACCAAGUAUAUCAGAUAAGGGGCUGCUCGUCCCGCAAUAUCUGAGGGGUAGGUCGUUAGAGACUUGUCGUGAGGCAAGUAGUAGAUUAAUGAUAGAACGAUUUGUAAAGCAAAUCUGACAGAACCCGGCUUAU